RNAcentral lists this long non-coding RNA (655 nucleotides) under Homo sapiens (human). RNAcentral's name for it is "HSALNT0392405". Lineage: Eukaryota; Metazoa; Chordata; Mammalia; Primates; Hominidae. The record is from RNAcentral.
CUCUACUGAAGGCUACUCUUCUUAUCAAGUAACGUCUUCUCCAUGCUCUUGACCCUUGCCCCUUCAGACCUAUGGAUGGUAAUAACCUGCCCACACCUAGUUUACCAUCAGAGGACACAGCAGCAAGGUGCCAUCCUAGAAGCAGAGAGCAGACCCUUACCAGACAACCAACCAGCUGGUGCCAUGAUCUUGGACUUCUCGGCCUCCAGAACUCUAAUUAUGUUACUUCUGUUUCACAUGGAUCUCAUAUAGAAAAUGCACAAGUGUUUAAGAACAGAAUAUAAUGAUGAAGGAAUAUCAAUAAGUAUAUUUUUUGCAUUGGUUAUAUUAGUCAAACAUGGCAUUACAAAAGGAGUGUCUAAUCUUCCCCAGAUGUCAUUAUAAGACAUUUACCUCCACCUUGGAAGAAUACAAAGGACUCCACUUAAAAGGCAAAUCAAGCCAAACCUUAUAAAGACAAGCCACAGACUUCAGGUUACAUGUUUUGAGUUCUGCACAAAAUAUUUGAAUGGGUGCUUCAUAAAAGAUGAUAUAUGAGGACUUGGGGCAGAACAAGAUGGCAGAAUAGAAGGCUCCGCCAAUUGUCCCUGCUUCAAGGACACCAAUUUAACAACUAACUACAUAAAAUAGCACCUUUAUAAGAACCAAAAAUCAG